GCCAGGUGUGGUUUUGCGCACCUGUAGUCCUAGCUACUUGGGAGGCUGAGGUGGGAGAAUAGCUUGAGCCUGGGAGUUCCAGGCUGCAGUGAGCUGUGACUGUGCCUCUCCACACUCCAGCCUGGGCAACAGAGUGAGACCCUGCCUCUU
RNAcentral lists this small RNA (150 nucleotides) under Macaca fascicularis (crab-eating macaque). RNAcentral describes it as "Metazoan signal recognition particle RNA (ENSMFAG00000049501.1)". The record is from Rfam by way of RNAcentral. Lineage: Eukaryota; Metazoa; Chordata; Mammalia; Primates; Cercopithecidae.